This 252-nucleotide unclassified non-coding RNA is filed under the name uncultured fungus. RNAcentral's name for it is "sequence contains 5.8S rRNA gene". Lineage: Eukaryota; Fungi. The record is from RNAcentral.
GAACGCACAUUGCGCCCGCCAGUAUUCUAGCGGGCAUGCCUGUCCGAGCGUCAUUUCAACCCUCAAGCCCUGCUUGGUGUUGGGGCCCUACGGCUGCCGUAGGCCCUGAAAUGAAGUGGCGGGCUCGCUACGACUCCGAGCGCAGUAAUUCGUUAUCUCGCUAGGGAGGUGUGGCGUGCUCCUGCCGUUAAAGACCCCAUCUUUAACCAAAGGUUGACCUCGGAUCAGGUAGGAAUACCCGCUGAACUUAAG